Meriones unguiculatus (Mongolian gerbil) is the source of this 136-nucleotide non-coding RNA. NCBI's taxonomy places the organism in Eukaryota, Metazoa, Chordata, Mammalia, Rodentia, Muridae. The record is from Ensembl.
UUGUCCUGUGCCUUUUUCUGCUACCCUGUGCUCAGUCCUAACAGGGUGGUCUGGCAGGACGCACAGUGAUUUCCCUCUCAGUUUAGGAGGGCUGUCCUGAGAAAAGGGCUGGCUCUUAAAGGCACGAGAGGACAAU